UCUUCCAUCAUCCUAACGAGGUAAUUUCUCAAGGGCGCCUUACAGCUCUCGUUCAUACAAUGUAUACUCUCUACACUCGGGAAUGACAUGUCAAAUCCCUUUAAUCCGUCAUCCAUAGAAUGGAAGACGAAUUGAGGAUGAUUGGAAUAAUUAGGAGCAUUGUGUUGAGUAUGUGCAACUAUAACAGAAAAGCCUUGUGAACGAAGGAUACUUCCAAGCUGCAGCAUUGGUGUUAAAUGCCCCUGGAGAAGAGGGAGGUGCUGUAACACCCGAGGAGGUGCGAGAGUCGAGAGAUUAAUGGUAGGAAUACGCGGAAGGGUGAGGUGUUGGUGGAGCGGGUCUUGAUGGCAACGCAGAAAUGAAGUCUACCAAAUCAUUCAGAUUCUUAUGUGAAGUACCAU
This is a long non-coding RNA of Solanum tuberosum (potato), 401 nucleotides long. RefSeq lists it as uncharacterized. Lineage: Eukaryota; Viridiplantae; Streptophyta; Magnoliopsida; Solanales; Solanaceae. The record is from RefSeq and is a predicted model, not a curated record. The transcript has 3 exons.